Molecule: microRNA precursor, 101 nt
Filed under: Marmota monax (woodchuck)
Lineage: Eukaryota; Metazoa; Chordata; Mammalia; Rodentia; Sciuridae
Source: RNAcentral
AGUACACUUGCUGGGUCAUAUGGUAGUUGCAUGUUCAAUUUUAUAAGAAACUUCCAAACUAUUUUUUGCGGAGUGUACCAUUUUAUAUCUCCAACAGCAAG